Molecule: unclassified non-coding RNA, 200 nt
Filed under: fungal sp.
Lineage: Eukaryota; Fungi
Description: partial internal transcribed spacer 2
Source: RNAcentral
UUAAGUUCAGCGGGUAAUCCUACCUGAUUUGAGAUCAAAGUUCAUAUGUAAAGCUUGCGCUAUACGUUUUAUAGCUUCCAGUCAAAAAAGUGGGAGAAUACUACCUAUUCUUACCACACUGAGAGUGACCUUCCACAGCUCAUUUCCAAGGAAUAACCAAAGCUAAACCUCAACUCCCACUCCAUAGAGUAGAGUACUUU